This 446-nucleotide ribosomal RNA is filed under the name uncultured bacterium. RNAcentral describes it as "bacterial SSU rRNA". It matches the Rfam family "Bacterial small subunit ribosomal RNA", at positions 15 to 507 of the family's 1533-position model. The record is from RNAcentral.
ACUCCUGGCUCAAGAACAACGCUGGCGGCAUGCCUAACACAUGCAAGUCGAACGAGACCUUCGGGUCUAGUGGCGCACGGGUGCGUAACGCGUGGGAACCUGCCUUUAGGUUCGGAAUAACUCAGAGAAAUUUGAGCUAAUACCGGAUAAUGUCUUCGGACCAAAGAUUUAUCGCCUUUAGAUGGGCCCGCGUUGGAUUAGCUAGUUGGUGGGGUAAAGGCCUACCAAGGCGACGAUCCAUAGCUGGUCUGAGAGGAUGAUCAGCCACACUGGGACUGAGACACGGCCCAGACUCCUACGGGAGGCAGCAGUGGGGAAUAUUGGACAAUGGGCGAAAGCCUGAUCCAGCAAUGCCGCGUGAGUGAUGAAGGCCUUAGGGUUGUAAAGCUCUUUUACCCGAGAUGAUAAUGACAGUAUCGGGAGAAUAAGCUCCGGCUAACUCCGUG